AACGAACGCUGGCGGCAGGCCUAACACAUGCAAGUCGAGCGCCCCGCAAGGGGAGCGGCGGACGGGUGAGUAACGCGUGGGAAUAUGCCCUUUGCUACGGAAUAGUCUCGGGAAACUGGGGGUAAUACCGUAUACGCCCUUUGGGGGAAAGAUUUAUCGGCGAAGGAUUAGCCCGCGUUGGAUUAGGUAGUUGGUGGGGUAAUGGCCUACCAAGCCGACGAUCCAUAGCUGGUUUGAGAGGAUGAUCAGCCACACUGGGACUGAGACACGGCCCAGACUCCUACGGGAGGCAGCAGUGGGGAAUCUUAGACAAUGGGGGCAACCCUGAUCUAGCCAUGCCGCGUGAGUGAUGAGGGCCUUAGGGUUGUAAAGCUCUUUCAGCUGGGAAGAUAAUGACGGUACCAGCAGAAGAAGCCCCGGCUAACUCCGUG
Molecule: ribosomal RNA, 431 nt
Filed under: uncultured bacterium
Lineage: Bacteria
Description: partial 16S ribosomal RNA
Rfam family: Bacterial small subunit ribosomal RNA
Source: RNAcentral